Molecule: ribosomal RNA, 464 nt
Filed under: Vreelandella stevensii
Lineage: Bacteria; Pseudomonadati; Pseudomonadota; Gammaproteobacteria; Oceanospirillales; Halomonadaceae
Description: partial 16S ribosomal RNA
Rfam family: Bacterial small subunit ribosomal RNA
Source: RNAcentral
CUACGGGUGGCUGCAGUGGGGAAUAUUGGACAAUGGGCGAAAGCCUGAUCCAGCCAUGCCGCGUGUGUGAAGAAGGCCUUCGGGUUGUAAAGCACUUUCAGUGGGGAAGAAAGCCUUGGGGCUAAUACCCUCGAGGAAGGACAUCACCCACAGAAGAAGCACCGGCUAACUCCGUGCCAGCAGCCGCGGUAAUACGGAGGGUGCGAGCGUUAAUCGGAAUUACUGGGCGUAAAGCGCGCGUAGGCGGUCUGAUAAGCCGGUUGUGAAAGCCCCGGGCUCAACCUGGGAACGGCAUCCGGAACUGUCAGGGUAGAGUGCAGGAGAGGAAGGUAGAAUUCCCGGUGUAGCGGUGAAAUGCGUAGAGAUCGGGAGGAAUACCAGUGGCGAAGGCGGCCUUCUGGACUGACACUGACGCUGAGGUGCGAAAGCGUGGGUAGCAAACAGGAUUAGAUACCCGAGUAGUC